CAGUAGCCACGGUAAUACGUAGGUGGCGAGCGUUGUCCGGAAUUAUUGGGCGUAAAGGGAGCGCAGGCGGACAUAUAAGUCCAUCUUAAAAGUGCGGGGCUCAACCCCGUGAGGGGAUGGAAACUGUAUGCCUUGAGUGCAGGAGAGGAAAGCGGAAUUCCCAGUGUAGCGGUGAAAUGCGUGGAUAUUGGGAGGAACACCAGUGGCGAAGGCGGCUUUCUGGACUGCAACUGACGCUGAGGCUCGAAAGCCAGGGGAGCGAACGGGAUUAGAUACCCCAGUAGUCCCUGUCUCUUAUACA
RNAcentral lists this ribosomal RNA (301 nucleotides) under uncultured bacterium. RNAcentral's name for it is "partial 16S ribosomal RNA". It matches the Rfam family "Bacterial small subunit ribosomal RNA", at positions 509 to 809 of the family's 1533-position model. The record is from RNAcentral.